UUUUUUUUUUUUUUUUUUUUUUUUUUUUUUUAAGGAUUCUAUUUAUUUGACAGAGAGGACACAAGCCAGAGGAGUGGCAGGCAGAAGGUGAGGGAGAAGCAGGCUCUCUGUCGAGCUGGGAACCUAAUGCAGGACUUGAUCCCAGGACUCUGGGAUCAUGACCUUAGCCGAAGGCAGAUGCUUAACCAACUGAGCCACCCAGGUGCCCUGUCAGGAUGCUUUUAAAGAAAAAAGUGUGAGGAUAUAUUUUUUGUGUAACCGGAAAUCUCAUUCCUAGUUAUUAAGAAGCAGAGCUAGCAUCUGAAGCCAGAUUUGUCUAACUCUAAACCCAGGGCUCUUAUUCUUAUUUUAUGGAAUAUUCUUUCAUUUUCCUGGUUCACAUCAUUGUUUUAAAACUUAGUUAUUGGCAGAGUUCUUUAUUAAUACUAUAUUAAAAGUUUGAUUAUAUGAAUUUGAAAAGUAUAGCAUAUUCAUUAAAUCAGUAGACAUUAGAAAAAUCUUGGAAAGCUAUAUGAGUGUAUUGGCUUAUUUAGCAGAUUAGCCCUUUUAUUUUAGGGAAUUUCAGGUUAUGUGUCAAGUGACCAGUUUGAAACUUCAAGAAUAGGAGAAAUACACUCUGUAGGUAUGAUACAAUUGCCUUCAAGAGUUGAAGAGUGUUAAAGAAUAGCAUAGGAAUUUUGAUGUGUUAUAAUCUCUAUUGCUACUAUUUUUUUUUUGUAGAGAAUAGGAGCCUGUGUCUGCAGAAUUGCACAGGACAAAGUUCUUGUAAAUGCCUACACUGUUUCUAGUUUCAGCUUUUUUUAUUUAUUUAUUUAUUUAUUUAUUUAUUUAUUUAUUUAUUUAUUUAUCUAUUUAUUUAUUAUUUAAUUUUACAAAUCCAUCUUUGGCAACCUCGUUUACUUGACUAAUAAAUGACAGUAAAAAUAAAAUAAUUCUGUGAUCAUAUGGAUUUUUGUUCUUGGUCCUUGUUUAGGAGUCAAGUAGUUUAGAAGACAUAUUAAUUAGAUUCAGUAGCAGUUGGAGGUCACUUGGAAGUGAGUUGAUAAUUUGAACGAAAUACAAGAAAUACAUUAAAAAAAUCAAGUGUAGGAACAUUACAGGUAAAUCAACAUGAGUAUUUUUAUCCCUUUAGAAAAACUUAAGAAAAUGCUGUGGAAAAAAGAAAAACUUUUUUUAGAUAAAAAAUUACGAAAUCACAUUAAAAAUUGGUAUAUAUUUUUAAUUCAUUUAUUUCACAAAUCUUAAUUGGAUACAUAUUUUAACCCUAGCUGGUAGUCUUCUAAUCUGAUAAAGACUGUCUCCUACGCCAGAAAUAUAGACCUGCAAGGAACUAUGGCUGCUCAUUAUACCGAAGUUUCUAGCACUCAACGUAGUGGCCCCCAUGAAAUAGGAAAAUAAUUAGAUAGAUAGAUAGAUAGAUAGAUAGAUAGAUAGAUAGAUAAAUUAGCAAAUUAGAUUUAUUAAAAUCAAGUGUUUAAAGAUUAUUUAAAUACCCAGUUUUGUAAAUGAUUCUCAAAAAGAAGUACAGGAUACCCUAGUUGUUAUUUUCUGUUAGUAAGAUUUAAGAUUUCCCGAGUUCCCCGAUGUUUGAUGUUUGAAUACAACGCACAGCUGUUUAUGCACACAUCUGCGGAUCCUUUCUUCUUUAUUCAGGUCUGGGAGACCGGUUAGCUUGCUGAGAAGGAACUUUAUAUUUUAUUACAUUCUGGUGCCGCUUAAGGACAACCUCGUGUAAAUCCUUUCUAAUUGUUUCAAAAGUUGUAGAUCGAGCAAUUAUAAGUAAAGCAGCCUUGUAUCUGUUGCCUACUAUACUGGAAAGAUUCAUUUUCUUUUUGUAUUAUCUGUCAUAUCAAAUAAAGAGGCUGAGAGUUUAUUUGUGAUAAACGUACUCUAUUUAAUGCAAUGGGACAGUCCGUUAAUUUGAGCACCUCGCAUAGUGUCAUCCUAAAUCUCCUUCUGCUGAUUUAAUUAGCAAAAGCUCCAUAUUAAUCACUUUGCAAUUAAAUUUUUUGAGUCUCCCAUUGAAAAACUAUAAUCCUUUCACAAAACAACAACAAAAAUUUAGAAUGAGAUCAGUAAUAAAAGUAAUUUGCAUUUUUUAAGCAAAUGUGUUAAACGGCUGAUGAAUUAUUCAACAAUUGGUGUUGGUUCUUCAGACUUAAUAAGCCUCUUUAAUUUGACUUCCAUACCAAAUUAUAAAUUUUAUUCUGUAUUUAUGAAUUGAAAAGUAUUCAUUAGUAAAAUGCAUUCAUCAUUGUACUAUAUAUAUAUGGUCAAUAAGGAAAGAUUUUUUUUUUCUAAUUUGGCAGGAAAUUUUGUUCUAGCAGCACAAGCAGAAUUCCUUCCCAUGAUAAAAGUAGUUUUUAUCACCAUUAUUCAUUUUACUGCCAUAUUUAUUAUGAGUAGGUGGAAAUCUACUCUUUUUGUUUUGAUUUUUUUCCCUAGAUGUCAUAUGUUGAACAAUCACACAGAAUCCAAUUAUAAAUCUAUUUCUAAAGAGCCUUGAGGCUGUUUUAGUUUUUCUCAUCUUGAGUGGCACAGUUCAAAGUUCUAGCAAGCUUGAAUCCUGUAUAUAUAGAGCAUAACAUCAUAAUAUUUCUUCAGAGAGAGAUAAAGCGUCUCACAAUUCUUGGGUAUACACACUUCCACUGACAAAAUAACAGUUCAUUAAUAAUGAAAAUGCUGUAUUUUAAGACCAAUAACAAAGACCUCAAAUGAGCCUAGUUUGUGCAUUUUUAUUUUUUAUUUUUAUUUUUUUCAUUUAUUUAUGAUAGUCACAGAGAGAGAGAGAGAGAGAGAGGCAGAGACAUAGGCAGAGGGAGAAGCAGGCUCCAUGCACCGGGAGCCCGACGUGGGACUCGAUCCCGGGUCUCCAGGAUCGCGCCCUGGGCCAAAGGCAGGCGCCAAACCGCUGCGCCACCCAGGGAUCCCUAGUUUGUGCAUUUUUAAAUACUUCAUUGCGUUUAAAUGUAACAGAUAUGCUACUAAUCUAUAAAUAACAGGUAUACAAAUAUUUGCUAACUGGUAUUGAGGAUUUGCUGUGUACCUGGCUCAGUUUUAAGUACUUUGCACAUUCCUCAAAACAAACACCACUAGGUGUUAGAGGCUACUAUACUGUAUCUUUAUUAGGAAACAAAGUCGGAGAAUUUAGUUACUUUCCCUGAUAGUCACUGAAAAAGCAGUUAUUCAAGCCCUGUCCAGGCUGAUUCCAUAGCCCGUGCAGGUAACCUCUGAGCACUACCACCCUCUCUAAACCAUACUGGACAUGCUUUGAGCUUCCUACUGAGCUGCAGCCAUUAUCCUAUUUUGAAUCAUUUCAUUUUGGGGAAUAUAAGCUUUGUGCUCUUCUACAACAUAAUGUUAAUGAAAUGGUUCGUAAAAGAAUUAAGCGAGUUCUGAUUUCUUCUAACUGGAAUAAUAAUGGUCAUCUAACCGUCUAAUUGUAGCUCAUUUGUAGGUAAUCAAAAUCUUUUUUUUUUUUCCAUGAAUCUUUCCAAGUGUGUCUUAGACAGGCAAUUCUCACUUUUUUUUUUUAUUUUUUUAUUUUUUACCUAAGGAGUAUUUUGGCUCACUGUAAUCCCUAGAUAUUUUUUCUGCCAAAGGACAGAUUCUAGAGAUGGAUGGAAAUAGAAACGUAUUAAAGCCACAGUAUGUAAGAGAUGUGUGUCUCACAUUUUAUUGUAAAAUUUAGAUUUAGGAUUUUCUAAAAUGGGCUAUAUUAAUCAAAUCUCUUCUUCCAUUUUCAUCAAUUUGAUGUUUUAUGUAAAACAAAAAUGAAUUCUUGAGAAUAGAUCUCAAGUCGUUGCACGUAAUAGGAACUCAGUAAGUACUGGUUUUCUCUUACCCUCAUUUGAACCUUUAUAAAUAAUGUCCAGGGGUUGUGCAUGUAUCUAGUACUGUGGUUCUCUAUCUCAUUUGUCAUUACCAUUCAUCACAUAGGUCUAGAAAAAUGUGUGCUUGGUUCCAACAGGUCUUUUUUUUUGGGGGGGAGGGGUGUCUAGGUCAGUAAUUUUAAAGUUCUGUUUUUUAAUCUUGUAUUUGUCUUAUAUGAAGAGUCAUCUUAUAAAUCAAUAAAUGAAGCUAAGAGAAUAAAGAGUAUAUAAAAGCAGGCCGGAUACUCCAAGUGUAUUUACAUUUGGGACAGGGAUCUAGAAGAAAGUCCGUAAGACCAACCAUAUGCAGCCAUUUCUUAGAUUUGACUAAGUUUGGUAUUGGGUAAGAGUGGCAGGAAGGAGAAUAAUAACAAGGUGAUUUAUGGGUUUUUCUGUCACCACUAUUAUCCUCUAGCCUUGUUUCCUUGUCUAAGAGUUUUUCUGAUGUUUCGUAUGUGAUCAUUCCAAAAUACGCAACACAUGUACACACACAUAUGUUCUACAGCCUGGGUCUAUUUUAAUUCAUCAGGGUUAAAAAUAAGUAAACAGCUGUGAAUUCUUAGCCAGUUGUCAAGAACUAACUUAAACCCUUUCUCCUUAUUCUCUAUUCUGCCAACAAGUUUCCCCCUACCCCCAAAGGGGUCCAGAUUCCAAUAUAACAUGUGUCUUAGGAGAGAAAAUAUAGCAUAUUGGUUAAGAGCAGAAGGACUGAGAUGUGUCUGGGUUGUAUGAGGAAACUAUCAGGAGACUGUCACCUAUUGCUAUGAAAUAUUUUAUUUCAUUUCAACUUUUAGUAUUUCAAAUAACCAAGGAGCAGACUAUUUGGCACUCAUUCUAGAUUUUAUUUCCCUAGUAAAGGAAGCUCAGACACUUUUCAUCAUCCUCAUCUUCAAAUUUACUUAUAAGGAAAAUAAAGCCAGUUGUAAUUUAGGUAGGGUAACCACAAAAGCUCAUGGUAUGCCCUGCUUUUAAAUGAUUUUUAAUUGCAUUAUUUUGUUCUUUCAUUAAUCCAAAUACAUAUAUUUUAGGUACCUACCACAUACUAACUCUGUAAGGACUGACUGGAGAUAAAUCAGUGAGCAAAAUAAAUCCUGCCAUCUGGAUGCCAAAUUCGGCACAUAACCUGGCAAGAGGAAAUAAAACCCGCCAGCUUGUUUGUUUGUUUGUUUGUUUAUUUAUUUAUUUAUUUAUUUAUUUAUUAUUUUAUUAUUUUUGUUUUAUUUUUAUUUUUAUAUUUUUUAGUCUGUCCUAUGCCUACCCAAAAACUCAUAACCCAUGUUGUCUUACCUUCAACUUCACCUCACUUCCAUUCUACUUCUGCCCAUGUAGUCUCUUAGUGGCUUAAAAUCCUAGUGUGACUUCCAGUAAUUCUCUAGUAUUUGAAAUAUUAGAAAGGUGUUAUUUAUAUUUAAUGACCAGCUCUUGUGCUGAAAUUGAUAACAAUUUAUUUCUACUUGCCAGAGAAGAAAACGGCUGGACACUUACAUUCUGUAAUUAUACAUCUGAUCUAUUGUUCUCUAAGUGGGAAAGGAUAGACAAAUGACUUCAUAUCUUAUGAUCAAACAGAGAGUCCUCAAUAAUGUUUUGUUGCAGCAAUGGGCUUUACACAGUUGUUUUGAUUUCCUAAGAGAAAUUACUAAAUUCAAGUUAUUUUCAUAUUAGUAAUUAAUAUGUGCUCAAGUACGUGUGUGUGUGAUCUUUGAUGAAAGGAACUGUGGUGAUAGUAGCUUCCUUAGCACGUAUCCUACUGCCUGCAUACGUUGUUGCUUAAUAGUUUUUUUUUUUUUUGCCAAUUUAUGUGGUGUGCCUUAGAGAAACUGCAGAAUUAGUAAUUUGUUACUGAUUUGAAAAAGGGAUUACAAGUCAGAAACAAAUGGUAUAGUAACUGAACAACAACAAAACAAACAACCAAAAGAAACAUACCAAACCCCAGUAGAAUAGAUCAAUGAAACCAGGAGCUGGUUCUUUGAAUAGAUCAACAAAAUUGAUAAACCUCUAGCCAAAUAAAUAAAAGACUAAAAAAAUCAUAAAUGAGAAAGGAGAAAUAAGAAACAGCAGAGAAAUACAAACAAUUAUAAGAGGAUAUUAUGAAAAAUUACAUGCUGACAAUUGGACAACAUAGAAGAAAUGGAAACAUUCUGAGAAACGUGUAACCUAGCAAAACUGAAAUGGGGGAAAUACAAAAUUUGAACAUACUGAUUAUUAGUAAGGAAAUUGAAUUAGUAAUCAAAAAACUCCCAAAAAAACAAAGUCCAAGAACAGACAGCUUCACAGGGGAAUUUUACCAAACAUUUUUUUAAAGAUUGUAUUUAGUUAUUCAUGAGAGACACACACACACACAGAGAGGCAGAGACACAGGCAGAAGGAGAAGCAGGCUCCAUGCAGGGAGCCUGAUGUGGGACCCGAUCCCAGGACUUCAGGAUCACGCCCUGGGCCGAAGGCAGAGGUUCAACCACGGAGCCACCCAGGUAUCCCUUUACCAAACAUUUAAAGAAGAGUUAGUACCUAUUUUUUCCAGACUAUUCCAUAAAAUGGAAGAGGAAGGAAAACUUCCAAAAUUAUUCUUUGCGGCUAGCAUUACCCUGAUACCAAAACCAGAUAAAGACAUUACUAAAAA
Molecule: long non-coding RNA, 6489 nt
Filed under: Canis lupus familiaris (dog)
Lineage: Eukaryota; Metazoa; Chordata; Mammalia; Carnivora; Canidae
Description: lncRNA (ENSCAFG00845023796.1)
Source: RNAcentral